This 271-nucleotide ribosomal RNA is filed under the name uncultured bacterium. RNAcentral describes it as "partial 16S ribosomal RNA". It matches the Rfam family "Bacterial small subunit ribosomal RNA", at positions 524 to 794 of the family's 1533-position model. The record is from RNAcentral.
UACGGAGGGUGCGAGCGUUAAUCGGAAUUACUGGGCGUAAAGCGCACGUAGGCGGUUCGUUAAGUCGGAUGUGAAAUCCCUGGGCUCAACCUGGGAACUGCGUUGGAAACUGUCGGGCUAGAGUGUAGAAGAGGGGGGUAGAAUUCCACGUGUAGCAGUGAAAUGCGUAGAGAUGUGGAGGAAUACCGAUGGCGAAGGCAGCCCCCUGGGCUAACACUGACGCUCAUGCACGAAAGCGUGGGGAGCAAACAGGAUUAGAAACCCCAGUAGU